RNAcentral lists this ribosomal RNA (411 nucleotides) under uncultured microorganism. RNAcentral describes it as "bacterial SSU rRNA". It matches the Rfam family "Bacterial small subunit ribosomal RNA", at positions 9 to 417 of the family's 1533-position model. The record is from RNAcentral.
GAGUUUGAUCGUGGCUCAGAUUGAACGCUGGCGGCAUGCCUUACACAUGCAAGUCGAACGGCAGCAUGAUCUAGCUUGCUAGAUUGAUGGCGAGUGGCGAACGGGUGAGUAAUACAUCGGAGCGUGCCCUGUAGUGGGGAUAACUAGUCGAAAGAUUAGCUAAUACCGCAUACGACCUGAGGGUGAAAGUGGGGGACCGCAAGGCCUCAUGCUAUAGGAGCGGCCGAUGUCUGAUUAGCUAGUUGGUGGGGUAAAGGCCCACCAAGGCGACGAUCAGUAGCUGGUCUGAGAGGACGAUCAGCCACACUGGGACUGAGACACGGCCCAGACUCCUACGGGAGGCAGCAGUGGGGAAUUUUGGACAAUGGGCGAAAGCCUGAUCCAGCAAUGCCGCGUGUGUGAAGAAGGCCU